AAGGGCCAUCGCUCAACGGAUAAAAGGUACUCCGGGGAUAACAGGCUGAUACCGCCCAAGAGUUCAUAUCGACGGCGGUGUUUGGCACCUCGAUGUCGGCUCAUCACAUCCUGGGGCUGAAGUAGGUCCCAAGGGUAUGGCUGUUCGCCAUUUAAAGUGGUACGCGAGCUGGGUUUAGAACGUCGUGAGACAGUUCGGUCCCUAUCUGCCGUGGGCGCUGGAGAACUGAGGGGGGCUGCUCCUAGUACGAGAGGACCGGAGUGGACGCAUCACUGGUGUUCGGGUUGUCAUGCCAAUGGCACUGCCCGGUAGCUAAAUGCGGAAGAGAUAAGUGCUGAAAGCAUCUAAGCACGAAACUUGCCCCGAGAUGAGUUCUCCCUGAGACUUAAAGUCUCCUGAAGGAACGUUGAAGACGACGACGUUGAUAGGCCGGGUGUGUAAGCGCAGCGAUGCGUUGAGCUAACCGGUACUAAUGAACCGUGAGGCUUAACCUUACAACGCCGAAG
RNAcentral lists this ribosomal RNA (506 nucleotides) under Salmonella enterica. RNAcentral describes it as "partial 23S ribosomal RNA". It matches the Rfam family "Bacterial large subunit ribosomal RNA", at positions 2437 to 2925 of the family's 2925-position model. Lineage: Bacteria; Pseudomonadati; Pseudomonadota; Gammaproteobacteria; Enterobacterales; Enterobacteriaceae. The record is from RNAcentral.